UGGGAGAGAGGACUGUGAGGC
This 21-nucleotide microRNA is filed under the name Homo sapiens (human). RNAcentral's name for it is "hsa-miR-8085". Lineage: Eukaryota; Metazoa; Chordata; Mammalia; Primates; Hominidae. The record is from miRBase by way of RNAcentral.